Molecule: long non-coding RNA, 526 nt
Organism: Dermacentor silvarum
Lineage: Eukaryota; Metazoa; Arthropoda; Arachnida; Ixodida; Ixodidae
Exons: 3
Source: RefSeq, a predicted model, not a curated record
GAAGAAAUGCAGCUCAUUGCCAGUAACGAGUUGAAUAGAACGUGCUUUGGCUCCUAAACGAUGAAAUCUCGAACUUUGCCUGUAACGAGUAGAAUAGCACUAGCUCCAGGUAAUUCAAUCUGAAAUCUGGCCAUUUUCGGGUAACGAGUUCGCAGAACUACAAAUGGUUUAUCAGAAAGAAUUAUGGAUCUUUUCUAGUUAUGUGUUAACGAAGAAAUGCAGCUCAUUGCCAGUAACGAGUUGAAUAGAACGUGCUUUGGCUCCUAAACGAUGAAAUCUCGAACUUCUUUGCCUGUAACGAGUAGAAUAGCACUAGCUCCAGGUAAUUCAAUCUGAAAUCUGGCCAUUUUCGGGAAACGAGUUAGCAGAACUACAAAUGGUUUAUCAGAAAGAAUUAUGGAUCUUUUCUAGUUAAGUAAAUGCAGCUCAUUGCCUGUAACGAGUUGAAUAGAACGUGCUUUGGCUCCUAAACGAUGAAAUCUCGAACUUCUUUGCCUGUAACGAGUAGAAUAGCACUAGCUCCAGG